This is a long non-coding RNA of Colossoma macropomum (tambaqui), 1669 nucleotides long. RefSeq lists it as uncharacterized. The record is from RefSeq and is a predicted model, not a curated record. Lineage: Eukaryota; Metazoa; Chordata; Actinopteri; Characiformes; Serrasalmidae. The transcript is spliced from 7 exons.
GAGACCGUGGACUGUGGACUUACAGAAGCCAUGAUUGCCUAUCUCUUUGACAAGUCUUUCAAAAAACAAUUAAAAUUCAGAGACUUUGUGUGUCGAAACAAGGAGGUGACUCUUAAUUUGGAAGAAGUCACACCAGAAGUAGAGCACCUGACUCAGAGUGAAAGAUGUCCAGAGCCGUCUGGGUGCCAAAGAGCACUGUCAAAAGGUUCCAAGAGAUCGGAACAAAAUUAGAGCGCUGCAUGAAAUAAUGGUACAGUACACAAUGUAUCCAACCAAUGCAGAGUAUGUUCAGGUUGCCUAAGCUUUAAUCUUGAAGUACCCUGUCCUGAAGGAUGUUGAGGGGAAUGGUCAUCACACCUGGCAUACAUCACUCAAGUGGAAGUUCAAGGCAGAAUGGGCACCACUCAUUAAUGACACAGAGGUCCGAAAAUUUAAAGAGAAGUUUCACCAAGCAAGGAAGUCAACAGGUGGAUCUGAAACUUUGCGUGCUAAGCGAACUAAGCCAUUAUCAGAAUCAUGCAUUGUUGGAGAGCUGGAGAUGCUAUGUCUGUUGAGACUCACGUUAAGGUAUUGUAUGACCAGUAUAAGAAGGCACAACCUGAUAUGAUGAUUGUAAAGGACCGCAUGAAGAAGACAUUUGCAUGGCGACGUCAAGAAAUAGCGGAGGGAAUGACUAUUGAAAACAUCUUGAUGAAAUACCAAUUUUUAAGAACAUCCUCAGGGUUGUAUGAUGAGGUUGAUGCCAUCCAUCCUUUGACGGUGAACAUGUAUCGGCGCUUCAGCGAGGGAUUUACAGCUGUACUGCCUAAUUUGUUGAAAGUCGUCAAGGGGACAUCGCCAUUGAAAAACUGUAUCUGGAGGCGAUAAAGGAAGCCCUGGCUGAGGACCUUCCAGGCAUUGACUUCAGGGGCGGACUUGUUCUUUUACCAUCCAUCUUCAGGGACAACGCUGACCACCUCAUUACUCUUGGAGAGGUAAGAACUGGUGCCACACAAACUGAUAGGGCCCCCCCUUAACAGAAAGUCAGGAAUAUGUUUUUUAGUGUACCAUGCCAGAUCUGUUUUAUUGUCAUGCAUUUUAACUCAUGCCCACCAACACACACUCACUGACUCAAGUAGACAGAAUAUUCUCCAUGACGGGGUGAUCAACCUUCUCUUCUAAACCAGUCAUGCCUCCACUGCACCAGUGCACAAAUUGCCCACUUAGAACAUUUACUCUUGUGAAGCUCAUACAACACAUCAGACUUGUACAUGCACAUGAACUUCACUUCAGCAUAACUUGUGGUAUAAAUGACUGCUGGUUUACUUUUUCCAAGUAUCAUUCUUACCAAAGGCAUGUGUACAGAAAACACAAGCACAAUAUUUUUCCCUCCCCUGAGAGCAAUGAGGAGGUUACGGAAGAAGAGGUUGACCUUUAUUUUCAAGGUUGGAGUACAUGCUCAUAAAUUCUGUCAUGUUCAUGCAUGAAACUCUGUCUUUUUAUAAUUGCCAUGAUAUCGACAUUGGACGUUUUGUAUUUUGUUGAUGCCACAUUUUGUUGUGAAGCUGUUCCUUGAAAAUGUUAGUUUUAGCAUUACGAUGGAGUGGGGCAUGUUUGGAGUUUGAAGUGUUUUUAAGAAUGUCAAUUUUGUAUUCUGAGUGUUGUGUGUGUGUGUGUGUGUGUGUGUGUG